RNAcentral lists this long non-coding RNA (284 nucleotides) under Elaeis guineensis (African oil palm). RNAcentral describes it as "long non-coding RNA (EGUI_LNC049809)". Lineage: Eukaryota; Viridiplantae; Streptophyta; Magnoliopsida; Arecales; Arecaceae. The record is from RNAcentral.
CUUCACCAGAUGAAUGCCCAACCUCUUGGGCAUGAAGAGGGGAGAGGUAUUACUAAGGAGGACAUAGAGAAGAGGAGUGGUGGCUGGCUUUUGCUGGGUUUGGCACUAUCACUAGAAACUCUAGGUGCAGACAGGGUUUAUAUAGACCUUGCUGCGCUGCGCAGUGUCACAUCAUUCGACUAAUCAAAAAAUUUCAAUAAAUUUGAAAAAAUUUUGAUUGGUGGAGUGAUGUCAUUUGAUCACAUCAGAUAAAAAACCAAGCCUCUCUCCAAGAGUUGGCACCA